GUCCCUUUGUGUUGUAGGCAGUGCAGUGAGGGUCGGUGAUUACUAGCGUGUGUCGAGCAGGUUAGCGAGUCGAGAGAGCGCAGUUAGGUGACCGGCAGCAUGGAAGGCCCCUGGGAAGACCAUCCUCUGGACGGGUACGACUUCCUAUAUGUGCUCGGCCGGGGCGGCUUCGGCCUGGUGAAGCUGGCCUGGCACCUGGCGUCGGAAGAGUUUGUGGCAGUGAAGAUCCUCCCGCGAGGCACCUCUCCCAGCAGCCCGCUGUCCGCGCAGGGGGAAGCGGCCAUCCUGAGGAGCCUGCGGCACGACAACAUCGUGCGGCUGCUGGAGGAGCGGCACACGAGGAAGCACCUGUUCCUGGUCAUGGAGCUGGGGGCCAGGGGCUCGCUCCGGCACUACGUGCUGCGGCAGGGCAGCCGAGGCCCAGGCCAGGGCCCUGUUUGGCCAGGUGCUGGCCGCUGUGAGCUACUGCCAUGGCCAGCGCGUGGCGCACCGGGACCUCAAGCUGGGCAACCUGCUGCUGGACACGCACCUGAACGUCAAGCUGGCGGACUUCGGGCUGAGCCUGUGGCUGGAGCAGGGCACGCUGGUGAGGGGCUUCUGCGGGACCCCCGAGUACUGCGCACCAGAGGUUUUCCUUGGGGAGGACUACGACGCGGUUAAAGCCGAUGUGUGGAGUCUGGGGGUGGUGCUGUUUGCUAUGCUGGCAGCCACGCUGCCUUUCCACAGCAAGGACACAGACGAGAUGUGGGACAUGGUGCUGUCCGCCUGCUACGUGCUGCCGCAUGCCGUCAGCCCGGCCCUGCAGGAGCUGCUGGUGUGGCUGCCCACCGUCGACACCUCAAGGAGGCCCAGUGCGGAGGAAGCCAGGACCCACUGGUGGUUCAGCCCUGGCCGAAAAGCCGCCCAGGAGGACAAGGAGGACGCGGUCACCCUGCUGCAGCCCCUGGGCGUUCCCCGAGACCCAGAGGCCAAGGACUACCUGGCGGGCCUCGGCCUGCUGCCAGGCAUGGGGACCGAGGGGACGCCAGGCCCUCGGCCCCACGGCCCCACGUCCCUGCCUGAGUCCUCACAGAGCAGCGAGCACCACCCCAUACAGGAUGACGGCUUGGCUCUGGUGUCCCGUGACAGCAUGGCUGUCAACGUUUCCUCCACACGGAGCGACUCCACCAAGGCCUCCAGCUAGCCACGGCAGGAGUGGAACCCUGCUCCCAGCACAGCCCCCGACUCCUCCCAAGUCUCCAGCCAGCCACAGCAAGAGUGGAGCCCUGCUCCCAGCGCAGCCCCUGAGCCAGCAUCCAAGGCGUCGCCCUCCAGCCCCAGUGCCGGGAGUCCUGUGCACCUCACAGAGCCAGAAGCCGCCUCAGCAGCCCGUGAGCCUGAGGAGCCUGGGACCACAGCCACCGCAGCCACCACAGACUCCACAGCCAGCGCCCAGGGCAAGAGGCAGGGCCGGCGUGGGGUCGGCAGGAGGAUCCUCCGGUUCCUGCUGA
RNAcentral lists this long non-coding RNA (1490 nucleotides) under Oryctolagus cuniculus (rabbit). RNAcentral describes it as "lncRNA (ENSOCUG00000033499.1)". Lineage: Eukaryota; Metazoa; Chordata; Mammalia; Lagomorpha; Leporidae. The record is from RNAcentral.